Small nuclear RNA from Nyctereutes procyonoides (raccoon dog), 105 nucleotides. NCBI's taxonomy places the organism in Eukaryota, Metazoa, Chordata, Mammalia, Carnivora, Canidae. The record is from RefSeq and is a predicted model, not a curated record.
GCUCGCUUCGGCAGCACAUAUGCUAACUUUGGAACGAUGCGGAGAAGGUUCGCACGGCCCCUGCGCAAGCACGACUCGCCGAUCCGCGGAGCGUGCCCCAGUUUU